This 706-nucleotide ribosomal RNA is filed under the name uncultured archaeon. RNAcentral describes it as "bacterial SSU rRNA". It matches the Rfam family "Archaeal small subunit ribosomal RNA", at positions 21 to 731 of the family's 1478-position model. The record is from RNAcentral.
AGGUUACUGCUAUCGAGGUACGACUAAGCCAUGCGAGUCGAAUGUAGCAAUACAUGGCGAACUGCUCAGUAACACGUGGACAACCUACCCUUAGGUCAGGGAUAACCCCGGGAAACUGGGAAUAAUACCUGAUAUGGCGCGAAGGCUGGAAUGCAUCGCGCAAGAAAGCUCCGGUGCCUAAGGAUGGGUCUGCGGCCUAUCAGGGUAGUAGUGGGUGUAACGUACCUACUAGCCUACGACGGGUACGGGUUGUGAGAGCAAGAGCCCGGAGAUGGAUUCUGAGACACGAAUCCAGGCCCUACGGGGUGCAGCAGGCGCGAAAACUUUACAAUGCCGGAAACGGCGAUAAGGGAACCUCGAGUGCCAGGAUACAAUCCUGGCUGUCGUAAUGCCUAAAAAGCAUUUCAUAGCAAGGGCCGGGCAAGACCGGUGCCAGCCGCCGCGGUAACACCGGCGGCUCGAGUGGUAACCGUUAUUAUUGGGUCUAAAGGGUCUGUAGCCGGCUGGAUAAGUCUCUUGGGAAAUCCGGCAGCUCAACUGUCGGGCUUUCAGGAGAUACUGUCCGGCUCGAGACCGGGAGAGGUGAGAGGUACUUCAGGGGUAGGGGUGAAAUCUUGUAAUCCUUGAAGGACCACCAGUGGCGAAGGCGUCUCACCAGAACGGAUCUGACGGCAAGGGACGAAAGCUAGGGGCACGAACCGGAUUA